Molecule: ribosomal RNA, 496 nt
Filed under: uncultured bacterium
Lineage: Bacteria
Description: partial 16S ribosomal RNA
Rfam family: Bacterial small subunit ribosomal RNA
Source: RNAcentral
GAUGAACGCUGGCGGCGUGCCUAAUACAUGCAAGUCGAGCGAACAGACGAGGAGCUUGCUCCUCUGACGUUAGCGGCGGACGGGUGAGUAACACGUGGAUAACCUACCUAUAAGACUGGGAUAACUUCGGGAAACCGGAGCUAAACCGGAUAAUAUAUUGAACCGCAUGGUUCAAUAGUGAAAGACGGUUUUGCUGUCACUUAUAGAUGGAUCCGCGCCGCAUUAGCUAGUUGGUAAGGUAACGGCUUACCAAGGCAACGAUGCGUAGCCGACCUGAGAGGGUGAUCGGCCACACUGGAACUGAGACACGGUCCAGACUCAUACGGGAGGCAGCAGUAGGGAAUCUUCCGCAAUGGGCGAAAGCCUGACGGAGCAACGCCGCGUGAGUGAUGAAGGUCUUCGGAUCGUAAAACUCUGUUAUUAGGGAAGAACAAAUGUGUAAGUAACUAUGCACGUCUUGACGGUACCUAAUCAGAAAGCCACGGCUAACUACGUG